RNA transcript from Malania oleifera, 1573 nucleotides. It is a transcript of the gene named COMPASS-like H3K4 histone methylase component WDR5B, with no coding region annotated. The record is from RefSeq and is a predicted model, not a curated record. The transcript has 4 exons. Lineage: Eukaryota; Viridiplantae; Streptophyta; Magnoliopsida; Santalales; Ximeniaceae.
GUAUUGACAUACGCGUUUUUCUUGCCUUCUCCAAAAAGGGGAGCAAAAAAAGACACGCAAAUUCUUCUCUAAAAUUAAAGAAUAGGAAUAGCGGCUUUUAUCGACGCUUCGCGGUACAGAAUUGAAAUACUGAAAUAGAGCAGACUGGUAAAACUGGAAUGGCAAGCAGCGGGGGCGGUGGCAACAGCCAGGCGCCGUCGCAGUACCGCCCCUACAGACACCACCGAACCCUAACCGGCCACCAGCGAGCGGUGUCGUGCGUCAAGUUCUCCAACGACGGUACUCUUCUAGCCUCUGCCUCCCUCGACAAAACCCUAAUCAUCUGGUCCUCACAAACCCUAGCUCUCCUCUCCCGCCUCGUUGGCCACUCCGAGGGCGUCUCCGACCUCGCCUGGUCCUCCGACUCCCAUUACAUCUGCUCCGCCUCCGAUGAUCGUACCCUCCGCAUCUGGGACGCACGCGCCGCCGACUGCGUCAAGACCCUCCGCGGCCACACCUCCUUCGUCUUCUGCGUCAACUUCAACCCCCAGUCCAACCUCAUCGUCUCCGGCUCCUUCGACGAGACCGUCCGCGUCUGGGACGUCAAGACUGGCCGCUGUGUUCACGUUAUUUCCGCCCAUUCGAUGCCCGUCACCUGCGUUCACUUCAACCGCGACGGCUCCCUCAUUGUCUCCGGCAGCCACGACGGUUCCUGCAAGAUUUGGGACGCCGCCACCGGCGCCUGCUUGAAGACCCUUAUAGAUGAUAAGGAGCCCGCCGUCUCCUUUGCCAAGUUCUCACCCAAUGGCAAGUUCAUUCUCGUUGCAACUCUGGACGACACUCUCAAGCUUUGGAAUUACUCGGCUGGGAAGUUCUUGAAAAUAUACACAGGGCAUAAGAACAGAGUAUACUGCAUAACAUCUACAUUUUCGGUGACAAAUGGGAAAUACAUUGUUAGUGGGUCAGAGGAUAGCUGUGUGUACCUUUGGGAUCUACAGGGGAAGGCUAUGGUUCAGAAACUUGAGGGUCAUUCUGAUACUGUCAUCUCAGUAACAUGCCACCCUGCUGAGAAUAAAAUUGCUUCUGCAGGCCUUGAUAGAGACAGAAGUGUGAGAAUCUGGGUUCAAGAUAAAUGAAUUUUUAUGCAUUGAGGCCUGGGGCUACCCCACCCCUUCUAUUGCCACUCAUAGUAACGAACCACUGGUGCACUGUUUGGCCUACAUUCUAGAUGCACAAUCCAUCUAAGACACCCUUCCAUUAUUUGAUCUUUAACAGGGCGAAGGCGGUGGUAUCUUGGCAAGAUGGAAGGAGAAAUGGAAUGAGGUUGCGAAAUAUGGUUUUGCAUGAAGAGGUUGCUGUACAGCUGUUGAAACCAAAAUUUGUGCCAUUCCCCCCCUCUUCGGCUUCAGAAAGGCCCUCCCAUGGGUUUUAUUUUUGGGGGGGCCAGGUGGGGAUGAAGUAAACUAUCUAUAGGUAGCCGAUACCUUGUUCUCGUGUUCAUUUGGUUAUUAGAAUAUUUUGUUGGGGUUGAAUGUACAAUUUGUUGUAAAAGCUAAAAAAUUUCAUCAGUCAAUUUUAAAAUAUUUGCUUAAAA